This 688-nucleotide ribosomal RNA is filed under the name Neottia japonica. RNAcentral describes it as "eukaryotic LSU rRNA". The stretch from base 238 to 393 matches the Rfam family "5.8S ribosomal RNA". The record is from RNAcentral. Lineage: Eukaryota; Viridiplantae; Streptophyta; Magnoliopsida; Asparagales; Orchidaceae.
UCAGUUCGGAUAGGGAACCUGCGGAAGGAUCAUUGUCGAGACCAAAAGAUAUUGAGAGAUUUAGAGAACUCAUUAACCAAGUGGUGACAGUCAUUGUCACGGAACAAUCAUACAACAUUAUCUCGUCGCCAUGAGGAGACAAGGUAAAGGUUGGAUGAAAACUUUAGCUAGCGCAUUUUCGCGCCAAGGUAAUGUGCAAAAUAUGAGCCCCAGCAAGUCUGGUGGCAUGGAAAAUAUGACUCUCGGCAACGGAUAUCUUGGCUCUCGCAUCGAUGAAGAGCGCAGCGAAAUGCGAUAUGUGGUGCGAAUUGCAGAAUCCCGUGAACCAUCAAGUCUUUGAACGCAAGUUGCGCCCGAGGCCAAUCAGCCAAGGGCACGUCUGCCUGGGCGUCAAGCGUUGCGUCGCUUCGUGCCAUCACCACCCACCAACAGGUCGGAUGGUGCAUGCUCGAAUGCGAAGAGUGGUUCGCCGUGCCCUUAGGUUCGACGGACUGAAGAGUGGGUGUUUGUCCUCCUAGCCACAAUAGACAACGGGUGGACGGAAGCCAAAAGCACGGCCAAACAAUGUCUCAUGCUGGCUUGAGGAAGAUUAAACAUCCCAAGUGAACCCAAACCCAUAUGCUGUACGGCAAGUGUCCGCUUGGAAUGCGACCUCAGGAUGGGCGGGGCUACCCGCUGAGUUUAGCUA